UGGGGAAUAUUGCGCAAUGGGGGAAACCCUGACGCAGCAACGCCGCGUGAGUGAUGAAGGCUUUCGAGUCGUAAAACUCUGUCUUUGGGGACGAAUAAUGACGGUACCCAAGGAGGAAGCCCCGGCUAACUACGUGCCAGCAGCCGCGGUAAUACGUAGGGGGCGAGCGUUGUCCGGAAUCACUGGGCGUAAAGGGCGCGUAGGCGGUUUGUUAAGUCAGGUGUGAAAGUUUUCAGCUUAACUGGAAAAGUGCACUUGAAACUAACUUACUUGAGUACUGGAGAGGUAAGCGGAAUUCCUAGUGUAGCGGUGAAAUGCGUAGAUAUUAGGAAGAACACCGGUGGCGAAGGCGGCUUACUGGACAGAGACUGACGCUGAGGCGCGAAAGCGUGGGGAGCGAACAG
This 404-nucleotide ribosomal RNA is filed under the name uncultured bacterium. RNAcentral describes it as "bacterial SSU rRNA". It matches the Rfam family "Bacterial small subunit ribosomal RNA", at positions 355 to 775 of the family's 1533-position model. The record is from RNAcentral.